GGGCGUGUCGGGGGAACGAACCGCCCACCGCGGCAACGCAGGGCGGGUUCGAUUCCCGCCACGCCCG
Molecule: transfer RNA, 67 nt
Filed under: Hydrogenophaga borbori
Lineage: Bacteria; Pseudomonadati; Pseudomonadota; Betaproteobacteria; Burkholderiales; Comamonadaceae
Also listed under: 1 other name
Description: tRNA-OTHER
Source: RNAcentral